RNAcentral lists this microRNA precursor (135 nucleotides) under Podarcis lilfordi (Lilford's wall lizard). Lineage: Eukaryota; Metazoa; Chordata; Lepidosauria; Squamata; Lacertidae. The record is from RNAcentral.
AGUUUUAUCACUGUACUACUGUAUCAAACAAACAAACAAACAAACAAACAAACAAACUGUACUACUGUACAGUAUUAUUACAGGGAUAUUUGUUUGUUUGUUUGUUUGUUUGAUACAGUAGUACAGUGAUAAAAC